This 69-nucleotide transfer RNA is filed under the name Neoachiropsetta milfordi. Its description in RNAcentral is "tRNA-Met". It matches the Rfam family "tRNA". Rfam says of the family: Transfer RNA (tRNA) molecules are approximately 80 nucleotides in length. Their secondary structure includes four short double-helical elements and three loops (D, anti-codon, and T loops). Lineage: Eukaryota; Metazoa; Chordata; Actinopteri; Pleuronectiformes; Rhombosoleidae. The record is from RNAcentral.
AGUAAGGUCAGCUAAUCAAGCUCUUGGGCCCAUACCCCAACCAUGUAGGUUCAAAUCCUGCCUUUGCUA